CCAGAGAACUUAGCAGAGAUGCUUUGGUGCCUUCGGGAACUCUGAGACAGGUGCUGCAUGGCUGUCGUCAGCUCGUGUUGUGAAAUGUUGGGUUAAAGUCCCCGCAACGAGCGCAACCCUUAUCCUUUGUUGCCAGCGAUUCGGUCGGGAACUCAAAGGAGACUGCCGGUGAUAAACCGGAGGAAGGUGGGGAUGACGUCAAGUCAUCAUGGCCCUUACGGCCAGGGCUACACACGUGCUACAAUGGCGCAUACAAAGAGAAGCGACCUCGCGAGAGCAAGCGGACCUCAUAAAGUGCGUCGUAGUCCGGAUUGGAGUCUGCAACUCGACUCCAUGAAGUCGGAAUCGCUAGUAAUCGUAGAUCAGAAUGCUACGGUGAAUACGUUCCCGGGCCUUGUACACACCGCCCGUCACACCAUGGGAGUGGGUUGCAAAAGAAGUAGGUAGCUUAACCUUCGGGAGGGCGCUUACCACUUUGUGAUUCAUGACUGGGGUGAAGUCGUAACAAGGUAGGCGUAGAUGA
This 523-nucleotide ribosomal RNA is filed under the name uncultured bacterium. RNAcentral describes it as "bacterial SSU rRNA". It matches the Rfam family "Bacterial small subunit ribosomal RNA", at positions 988 to 1509 of the family's 1533-position model. The record is from RNAcentral.